This 556-nucleotide ribosomal RNA is filed under the name Nadsonia starkeyi-henricii. Its description in RNAcentral is "partial large subunit ribosomal RNA". It matches the Rfam family "Eukaryotic large subunit ribosomal RNA", at positions 82 to 657 of the family's 3401-position model. Lineage: Eukaryota; Fungi; Ascomycota; Dipodascomycetes; Dipodascales. The record is from RNAcentral.
AGUACGGCGAGUGAGCGGUAAAAGCUCAAAUUUGAAAUCUAGCGUCUUUGGCGUUCGAGUUGUAAUUUGAAGAUGGUAAUCUUGGAUAUAGUCUUCGGCUAUGUUCCUUGGAACAGGACGUCACAGAGGGUGAGAAUCCCGUGUGCUGAGGUGCCUAUAUCCAUGUAAGAUGCUAUCGAAGAGUCGAGUUGUUUGGGAAUGCAGCUCUAAGUGGGUGGUAAAUUCCAUCUAAAGCUAAAUAUUGGCGAGAGACCGAUAGCGAACAAGUACAGUGAUGGAAAGAUGAAAAGAACUUUGAAAAGAGAGUGAAAAAGUACGUGAAAUUGUUGAAAGGGAAGGGCAUGAGGUCAGACUUGGUAUUAAGCGAUCAUUUCCUCUCGGGGUUGUGCUCUCGCUUUUUACUGGGCCAGCAUCAGUUUGGACGGUAAGAUAAUGACAUUGGAAUGUGGCUUUCUUCGGGAAGUGUUAUAGCCCUUGUUGAUGUUACCAGUCUGGACUGAGGACCGCGCAUUAUUGCUAGGAUGCUGGAGUAAUGGCCUUAUGCCGCCCGUCUUGA